ACAGAAGACUUGUCUCCUUUUCCAUCUGAGAGCAGCCUGCUUUCCAAAAAGAGUCCAGUGAAAUGAGGCACGAAAACUGGUUGGGAGUUUUAGCUGCAUGGCGUGGACGAACAUUCAAUAGGAGAUUCCCUAACAACUACUGCUAACUUGGGAUGAUUCGGCAGACGGUUAACGAAGCCCCAGUCCCAUGUCUAAAAACAUACGGUCGUGAUUGAGGAAGGAUUAAAAGAGUACUGAUGACUACAACCCAUAUUGAUUUAAAACUGUAUCUAGAUAUUUGUUAUUGUUAAGAGCAUUUAUUCAUGUAGCAUGUAAACUAAGCUAUUUCUAUUCAAAUUUUAUUGAAUGUGCUUGUAUUAUUUGUUUUUAGUUUAGAUUAUGUUUUUAUCUCUGUUGUUUUUAUUAAUUUUGUUUUGUUUUUGUACCUGUCAUAUGUACUGUUUGUUGUGUUUGGUUAUUAUUAUUUGUAUCUGCAGGCUUCUAAACGAGCUUGUACUUAAGUUUGGUAAUUGUGAGAUUCCCUUUCUUUAACUAUUUCUAAUCUUGAUGAGAUACCUGAUUAUGAAAAUUCCUGUGGCAAACAUGUCCUUAUCAAACACUUAACUUUUUUACUUCAUUUACUUGAACGUAUCACUUAUUGUUAGGAAUAUGUUAAUGCCUUCGGUAUCUUCAACAAACUUAAAGUGAUUCGGGUUUUUGUAACCAUCUAUAUUCUAGUACAUAUAUUUGUUUUCGGUUUGAUUAAAAAAAAUACGUAUGACCUUUAAAUAAGACCUGCCCUUACCAAACUAACACUUAUGGUUCUUAAGCUAUUUUUAUAUCAUUGAUCCAGGUAUGUUAUUUUAUGAUCUUACGCUUACCUUUAAUAUCUUUAACUAAAUGUACCCAAAACUAAAUUUGCACUAAUCUUUGAGCUUUGAAAAUUAUAUUAAUACUGUAUCUGUGGCAUCUGAAUCAAACUUCCCUUACCAAACGUUUACUUUUGAAAUGUCUAAAUACACUAGUUUUUCUUUAAUCCAAGAUUAAAUCUUUAAUUGAGUUGAUACUUACGUCGGGGAGUUCAAAUCCCACUGAGGGACGUGGAGUCUAGACCUUCGGAUGAGACCGUAUAAACCGAAGGC
Saccostrea cuccullata (small rock oyster) is the source of this 1121-nucleotide long non-coding RNA. RefSeq lists it as uncharacterized. NCBI's taxonomy places the organism in Eukaryota, Metazoa, Mollusca, Bivalvia, Ostreida, Ostreidae. The record is from RefSeq and is a predicted model, not a curated record. The transcript has 3 exons.